Molecule: ribosomal RNA, 253 nt
Filed under: uncultured bacterium
Lineage: Bacteria
Description: partial 16S ribosomal RNA
Rfam family: Bacterial small subunit ribosomal RNA
Source: RNAcentral
UACGGAGGGGGCUAGCGUUGUUCGGAAUUACUGGGCGUAAAGCGCGCGUAGGCGGCUUUGUAAGUUAGAGGUGAAAGCCCAGGGCUUAACCCUGGAAUUGCCUUUAAGACUGCAUCGCUAGAAUCGUGGAGAGGUGAGUGGAAUUCCGAGUGUAGAGGUGAAAUUCGUAGAUAUUCGGAAGAACACCAGUGGCGAAGGCGACUCACUGGACACGUAUUGACGCUGAGACGCGAAAGCGUGGGGAGCGAACAGG